This is an RNA transcript of Cephus cinctus (wheat stem sawfly), 6852 nucleotides long. It is a transcript of the gene named NACHT domain- and WD repeat-containing protein 1, with no coding region annotated. Lineage: Eukaryota; Metazoa; Arthropoda; Insecta; Hymenoptera; Cephidae. The record is from RefSeq and is a predicted model, not a curated record. The transcript has 13 exons.
CGAGCGAGCGGUGGGGACUCCGCGUCGGCGCCGGGACGCUCGGCCGCCGGGCCGCUGCUUUGCCGUUUGAUUUUCUUAUCAGUAGUGGUGCGAACCAGUGCGGACCUUCACGUAGGAGGAGGCCAGGCUCUGUCGUCCUUGCUGAAACAUCCCGAUGACUUCGCUGGAGACGCCACUGAUAUUUUGACGGCGGGCAAAGGAUCCUUCGUUGCAAUGGGCCCGACGAGUCCUGACACACCGGAAGAUUGUCUCUCAGUCGUAACGAACAAAUAUUCUGCAUCGAGUCUCGUGCAAAAAUAUUUCCUACCAAGUAUUAUGAAAGAGUCUAGGCAACAGUAUUCGCGACAGGUCGUGUCCUUCGUCUCGUAGUGGUUUUUGGAAAUUGCUGAAAACUUGAGGAUAAGGCAGGAACGGAUGAAAAGAAAAGGAGUAAAGCAACAAUAAGAAAACAAAAGAGAGGAUCGACGGUUUAGCUAGUCAUAGGAUAUAGUGGAGAAAUCGUAGAGAAGAAUUAGUGAUAAAGUCGAACGGCUGAUCAGAAGCAAUUAACUUUCUUCGGAUAAGUAAUUAAAGUUUUAAGGGAAUAAAAAGAUUCGACAAGAUAUUUACGUACUUGUAAGAGGACUUUCGAGGUUUUAAGUUAAAUAAAGUGGUAAUCUUCCCCUCUUGAUUUUACUUGGAAUUCCCAAGAUCAAAUCAGAAAUCUUUCACCGAAUAUCGAGACGCGAGAUUGGAGGCGAAACAGGGGAUGAGAAUGCACCAAGGAAGAAGAUAAGGGCAGAUGUGAAGGGUACGACUUACCGAGCAUAACAGCGAGGACAAUCCUAGAUUAAAGUUACCUAAUUAGCACUCUAAGAGAUACUUAAAGAUACGUGUUAGGGCCGCGGGGAAUAUAUCAUAUAUAUAUAUAUAUCAGGUAGAAGCGCGCAAUUGGCACACGUUACUUGUUGAACAAGCACGCACGAUACACUUGGUUAUACAAGAGAAAUAUAUUUAAUACUGUUGUUCGUAGCGAUAUGCGUCUUUAAACAUUUCCAAAAAAAAGAAAAAGAGAGAGAGAUCUAUAUACAUAUACAUUCUAUAUUAUAAAUAUUUAUCUAUAUGUUUAGAGUUAAUAGCGUGCGGUUGAAGGAAUAAUUUAUGUGAGGUGAAGUGGAAUAGAAUGAAAUGUCGUUUCGAUAGGAACAGAGUUGGUCUUCUUGUUGUGCAAAUAAAUUUUGCUGUAGAUUAAUCAAAAGGGAUAAAAUAUACGCGAAGGAGGGACGGAUAUUUUGGAAAGCAAAGGGAAAGAAGAAAUAAGCGUGGAACGAUAGUUGUUAGAGAGUAAAGGGGGUUUUUGGGAAGACAGAGAUUAAGCGGGGGAAAGAGGCGAAAGUCUAGCAAUAACGGGAAGAAGAAAAAAAAUAAGGAUAAAUCGCAUUCUGUGAAAAAUUGGUGCGAUAUCACGACAAUUGGGGAAAAAUUUACUUGGGUGAGAGAGAGGGACAGGUAGUGGGAGAGGAUGAAUCUCGAAGUGGAACUGAUAGCAGGGGUGGUAAAGGGCGGACCGCCCCCAGAUCAUCUGCCAGCCCCACGCCUCAUCAAGAUAUUCAUCGUUUCCGAACGGGAUGAAUUUCACGAAGAGCGGAAACAGCUCCUUGAAGUCGUCGGCCCGGAAUUGCAAUCCAUCUACGACGACAUGGGAAUCGAGGUACUCCUCGUUGACAUGCAAUACGGCACCAACUGGGAUCCUGACGUGGAUCCGAGACUGGCCGAAUUCUUCCUGGAGGAAAUAAACGCUUCUCAUAAACAUUCCCGCGGAUGUUUCCUGCUGUUGCUGCUUGGGUCAGAUUACAAUGCAGGCUGGGUCCCGACAUCGUUCCCCGAGGAAACUUUUCAAGCACUCCUGGGGCAGUGCUCCGCGCUCGAGGAGUACUACGAACACAAUGGCCAUUGUUACACCUUAAAAGCCACCAGCGAGGAGACGGCUCAGGUGGAGUGGCAUUCCCGGGAGUCAAACUUGAGGAAGAGUCUUAGGAUGGCAGCCGAAGCUGUAAUUCUGCAGGAUCCUGACAACGUUGGAGCAAGGAACGCGCUGAAGAGUACCGUGCAUAGACAACUCGAGCAUGGCCUAAGUCUCGACGAGGAUGGGAAUGGCAUCAUUACGGUGAUACGUGAGUGGACGGGAGCCAGUGCACCUGCCGUUUCGCCGGAAGUUCAGUCCCUUAAGGCGAAAGUCGGUCAAGUGUUACCGGAGGAAAAUGUUAUUCGACUCGAAGUCGAGCACAUGGCUGGCGGCUUCGAUCCUGACAGUUUUGCUCAUGACAAUUAUUUGACUAAAAUGCGUCAGAGGAUUUUGGAAAGAAUUCAAACUCUAGUGAAUGCAUCGGUCGAGAGAGAUCCGGAGAUCAAAAGUAGGAAGAAGAUGGUACAGGAGGUCUACGCCGAGAGUCUUGCUCAUUUGGCCCUGCUAAGAGAAGUGGAACCGGUCCCCGAAGAUGAUCCUGCGGUACUUCGGGUGCGGCAGACCUUGAUGUGCGGAAGGGAUCAGAAACAUGGUCCAGUCGUUAUCUGGGGUCCUAAAUGCUCUGGAAAAUCCGGUAUAUUGGCCAGGAUCUACCAGAGUGUUUCAGAGUGGUUCGGCGGUCCUACCUUGAGAGUGGUGAGACUCUGCACGUCUACACCGAGAUCAGCUUACAGUCUCGAGCUCCUGAGGAUCCUUUGCGAGCACAUUGGAUUCCUCUCGGGUAACAAUGAUGGUACCUUGCCUCGUGACGCAUCCUUUGAUCCACUUUAUCUGAACAAUUGGUUCAGUCAAAUAAUGCGUGGAAUCGAGGAGAAUCCCACAACUGAGCAACUGGUUGUCAUGGUGGAUGAUCUUCACCGAUUGCAUCCUCUGGAAUGCGAUAUUGUAGCUGCCCUUUCCUGGCUUCCAUUGAAUCUUCCACCAGGCAUGCACUUCGUAGUCACCACUUCAGUCCCGCCGGAAGCUCUCAGACUGACGCCAUUACAAAAGGAACGACUUAGGAGUAGCGAGAUACUGAUCGAACUUCCGGAAAGCAGAAGCAAUAUUCCAAACGUCGAAGGUGCCUUGGACAAUCUUGAGAAACUUGUUGGCCCGAAAGCGGCCAACAGGGUCGGCUGCUUAUUAGCCUGCACCGAAUACGGACUCUCGGAAACCGAAAUUCUCGAGCUAAUAAUGCCAACUGGUGGUGACGGACCGUUGCUGCUGAGCUCAGCUCAGUAUAACUUCUCAACUUGGUGCCUGGUGAGGAGAACGCUGAGCCCUUGGCUGAAAGUUCGAGUUAUGAGCGGCAGAUUGAUGUUCGGCUGGCGCUGGAUCAGUGCGGAUGCUGCGAGGAAGAGAUACUUGAAUACCCAAGAUGCGUCUAGAUCGAGUCACGCGGAAAUAGCGAAUAUCUUCUUCUCCGAAGAGCGCGAGGAGAGCGAGGAAAAGUCUCCGGAAGAUCCUGGCUCACCCCCUCCUAAGGAGACGCCUUUUCAGAGUGCGCCCCAAUCUCAAGACAUCACGUACACCCUCCGUCAGGUCGAGGAAGCCUGGCUUCAUCUUCUACGAGCCGGCGACGUCGAGAGACUCAAGAGACUCGCUGUCUGCGCAUUCGAUUUCCUCCUCGCUGCUGUUCAGAUGAUAUCCGUGAGCUACUUGCGAUGCGUCCUGGAGCACGCCAGGAGGUAUUUACUCGAGAGGGAUUUGGAACUGGUGUAUUAUGCCGUGCGGAAGUCGAGCGACGUGCUGACGCGCGAUCCGCUUCAAUUGGGCGCUCAGUUGAUUUGCUGGCUUAGACCAGUUGCCGAGGACGGUGGGGAUUUGGUUAGCAGAAUGGUAAUGGCCGCCAUGGCAUGGUGCGAUGGGUACACUGCUCCGUUACUUGUACCUUUGAACGGUUGGCUGCAGCCGCCCUUGCCGCUUCAGAUUCGUGCCCUGGCUUGUCCACAGGGCGUGAGACUCGUCGAGGCUGCACCCUCCGGGCAACACGUCGUCGUGGUGCCUCCUCAGGGCGAUGCACAACUAUGGCACGUCAUGUCGGGCCAGCUCGUUCACACGUUCAAAGGACAUUCCGGGCCAAUAUCCUGCGUUGCAGUUACCCAACAGUCUCAGUACCUUCUCACAGGGUCGGAGGACACUUCAAUAAUUGUCUGGGACAUGAAGGAACUGACUUUGAAGCGUAGAAUUUGCGAACACAUCGCACCUAUUUCGACACUAACACCGGCAUUAAAUAACUCGGUGAUUGUCAGCGGUGGCGAAGACUCCAGGAUCAUUGCGACAAGUCUUCUCACCGGAGAAGUCCUGAUGAAGGUGGAUCAUCACAGAGGCCCGGUAACGGCAGUGCGCGUGGAUUCGGCGGGGGAAGUACUGGUCUCAGGAUCAUCCGACCGAACUGUCUGUCUUUGGUCCUUGGAGAGUUUCACUCUCUUGAAUAGCAUUCCUCUACCGUCGCCGGUGGCCAUGUUGGAUGUCUCGACCGAUUCGGUCUUUCUUCUUGUCGCUUGCGAGGAUCAAAAGCUCUACCUGCGAUCCUUGGCUACGGGAACGGAAAUCCAUACGCUGCGAGGACAUCAGGGACCUGUGAGGAGUAUUUGCUUGGCCAAGGAUUGCUGCAGAGCCAUUGCUGGCGGUGUGGAUGGCAGAGUCUCGGUAUUCGACAUGCAUAGCGGCAGGCUCACUAGGACUUUGCCAGCCAAUCCCUCAGCGGACGUGACUUCGGUAAAGGUUACGGAGAAGGAUGACUUUUUGAUCACCGCUGGGGGUGGUCGUGUAACUUAUUGGAGUUUUCGUGGGGAGGAAGUACCCCCAAGGCCCUCGAAGCCGGGAGGGAAGCAGGAAUCCCUUCAGCCUCAUACAGCCCCUAUCUCCUGCCUCGACGUCUCGAGGGAUGGCGCCAUGGCGGUUACAGGGGGCGUUGAUUCCCUCGUUAAUCUUUGGCAAUUAAACACUCACGAACUCGUCUCUACCCUGGAGGGUCACAUCGCGAGCGUAACUUGCGUCGCAUUUUCUGCCUCCGGUCUAUUCGCUGCGUCCGGAUCCGAGGAUAAGACAGUUCGCGUUUGGGGCCUGACGCUGGGUCUUGUGGUUGCCACCUUUCGCCAUCAGACGCCCGUGACGGCGGUCACUGUCAUGUUGGAUGGCAGAAGGGUCGUUAGCUCCGACCGUGGUGGAGCCAUCAGAGUGUGGGCCGCCGACAGUGGGACUUUGAUUCAGUCGGUUUGCGGACCAGGUCGAUGCUUCGCGGUGGCUUCCGAUAUGAGAUAUACAGUCUGCGGAUCUGGCGAUAACCACGUACGGAUAAUAGGCCUGGGAGCUGGUCCGGAAGAAAAGCACCAGGUUUCACAUUCCCAAGACAUAACGUGCUUGGUAGUUACACCCGACUCGCAAUCGCUAAUCACCGGCUCGCGAGACAUGAGUCUGAAAGUAUGGCAAUUGGCAGGCGGAAAGUUAUCCCAAGUGCUGGUUGGUCACACGGACCACGUCACUUGCGUGGCUGUUGCAGUACUGGAUAAAUGCAUUGUAGUUUCUGGUUCACGCGAUGCCAACCUAAUCGUAUGGGAUAUUAAUACCGGGGCGGAUCUUCAUACGCUCACUGGCCACCUAGGAUACGUGACGUGCGUCAGGUUAUCCGGCGACGGUACUUUGGCUAUCUCUGGAAGCGAAGACAAAAGCCUGAUAGUCUGGGAUACUAAGAAGGGCACUGCUCUCAGCUCCAUCAUGCUUCACGUACCGGUACUCGGUGUCGAAAUGUCCACGGACUGUUCAAGACUAGCGCUCCAUUUACUUGAGCACAAAUGUAUGCCUAUAUUGUGUCUACAUAACACACCGGCUCAGUACGUCAAGUUGCCAGCAUACGUAGCGCCCAGAGAUCUACGACCACCUGGACCCAAUCGCCCAGCCAGACGAUUGCUUAAGAAGGAAGUGUCCCUAGACACUUACACUUGGCAGCGUAAAUACGGCCAUCUUACUUCAGGAAUUAUGGUGGCGGCCGUAGAGGAACGAUUAAAACGUCGAUUCAGCGUGAGCGCUUCUAUGGAGGAGAUCAGCAAGGCAGGUUUGGCAGGAUCUCAGCCGGGAUUAGGCCCCGAACAGGCGGCCCUAGCCCAAUCCCAACAUUUCGAUCAGCUGGAGGCUCUCUGGAACAAGCAAUCACCUCCGCCGAGACCCAGAGGUCUUGGUCGAACUCUUUCUAAACAAAGUUCUCUUCAGGCAACCCGAAUAUCCGAUUCCGAUGAGGAAGGUAGGCGAGCCAUGUCCUGCAUCGCCUCCUAGAUCCUUCAGUUAUGUCAGCUACCUAAUUUUCGACACAAAGAAUCUCUUGAUUACCUGCAUUGCCCUUUUAUUGGCUGCUGCAUAGCACAGCACGGUAGAUUUUUUUUUACUUUUAGAAAGUCCUCCUCAUAUUAUUUUGUCAAUAUCGUAUCCUUGAAUGCAGUAUCCAUUGCGUACAUACUUGGUGAUCCGAUCAACUUUUUUUCAAUGCUAUCUAUUGCGUUACUUUAAAAGUGCCAGUUCUUCCACGUGACAUUGCAGUACAGUUCCUUAGUUUUUCUAUGAAGAUAGUGUCACCUUUUUAUUCACGUGUUAUAUCGUUCUCCAUUCUCAUUGGAAUCUAGUUUUUUAGUUUUUCCAGUCGCACAGUAGAAACCACUCUGCAUGCACAAACUUAAAUCUUCCAGGUUAAUCGAAGUCAUUGAAGAUCCUUCGGUACUGCUAGAGCGCUUUUGCGUGGCAUUGAAAACGAUGAAGGAAGUGGUCGAGAACUCUCAUCUAACGAAAAGAUUCAUCCUUCGACUGUAACCGAUUCUAAAACUACAAAACUCCCAUGUCAUUACGUUCGGUGCAAUAAAUAAAAUACAAAUCUA